GGACUACCCGGGUAUCUAAUCCCGUUCGCUCCCCUAGCUUUCGCACAUGAGCGUCAGAUGCGAUCCAGGACGCUGCCUUCGCCUUCGGUGUUCUUCCAGAUCUCUACGCAUUUCACCGCUCCACCUGGAAUUCCGCGUCCCUCUUUCGCCCUCAAGUCUUCCAGUUUUCCGAGUCCUGUGGCAGUUAAGCCGCCACCUGUCACUCGAAACUUAAAAGACCGCCUGCGUGCGCUUUACGCCCAAUAAAUCCGGACAACGCUUGCCCCCUACGUAUUACCGCGGCUGCUGGCAC
RNAcentral lists this ribosomal RNA (292 nucleotides) under uncultured bacterium. Its description in RNAcentral is "partial 16S ribosomal RNA". The record is from RNAcentral.